UAGGGAAUCUUCGGCAAUGGACGAAAGUCUGACCGAGCAACGCCGCGUGAGUGAAGAAGGUUUUCGGAUCGUAAAACUCUGUUGUUAGAGAAGAACAAGGACGUUAGUAACUGAACGUCCCCUGACGGUAUCUAACCAGAAAGCCACGGCUAACUACGUGCCAGCAGCCGCGGUAAUACGUAGGUGGCAAGCGUUGUCCGGAUUUAUUGGGCGUAAAGCGAGCGCAGGCGGUUUCUUAAGUCUGAUGUGAAAGCCCCCGGCUCAACCGGGGAGGGUCAUUGGAAACUGUGAGACUUGAGUGCAGAAGAGGAGAGUGGAAUUCCAUGUGUAGCGGUGAAAUGCGUAGAUAUAUGGGGAAACACCAGUGGCGAAGGCGGCUCUCUGGUCUGUAACUGACGCUGAGGCUCGAAAGCGUGGGGAGCAAACAGG
Molecule: ribosomal RNA, 429 nt
Filed under: Gemmatimonadota bacterium
Lineage: Bacteria; Pseudomonadati; Gemmatimonadota
Description: Gemmatimonadetes bacterium partial 16S ribosomal RNA
Rfam family: Bacterial small subunit ribosomal RNA
Source: RNAcentral